AGCAGCCGCGGUAAUUCCAGCUCCAAUAGCGUAUAUUAAAGUUGUUGCAGUUAAAAAGCUCGUAGUUGAAUUUCGGGAUCAAUAUAUCGGUCGUGCCUUGGUACGUACUGGUAUCAUUGGUUUCUCCUUUCUGACGAACCAUGAUGUCAUUAAUUUGGUGUUAUGGGAAGUUAGGGGCUGUUACUUUGAAAAAAAUUAGAGUGUUUAAAGCAGGCUUGACUUGAAUACAUUAGCAUGGAAUAAUGAAAAUAGGACGUUCGAACCUAUUUUGUUGGUUUCUAGGAUCAACGUAAUGAUUAAUAGGGAUAGUUGGGGGGCAUUAGUAUUCAAUUGUCAGAGGUGAAAUUCUUGGAUUUAUUGAAGACUAACUACUGCGAAAGCAUUUUGCCAAAGGAUGUUUUCAUUAAUCAAGAACGAAAGUUAGGGGAUCGAAGACGAUCAGAUACCGUCGUAGUCUUAACCAUAAACUAUGCCGACUAGGGAUCGGAUGAUGUUAAUUUUUUAAUGACUCAUUCGGCGC
This 520-nucleotide ribosomal RNA is filed under the name uncultured Glomus. RNAcentral's name for it is "SSU rRNA". It matches the Rfam family "Eukaryotic small subunit ribosomal RNA", at positions 569 to 1086 of the family's 1831-position model. Lineage: Eukaryota; Fungi; Glomeromycota; Glomeromycetes; Glomerales; Glomeraceae. The record is from RNAcentral.